This 68-nucleotide transfer RNA is filed under the name Marmota monax (woodchuck). RNAcentral describes it as "tRNA.Ala". The record is from RNAcentral. Lineage: Eukaryota; Metazoa; Chordata; Mammalia; Rodentia; Sciuridae.
GGAUUGUGGCUCAGUGGUAGAGUGCUCUCCUAGCAUGCAUGAGGCACUGAGUUUGAUUCUCAGCACCA